Molecule: ribosomal RNA, 1373 nt
Filed under: Bacillus thuringiensis
Lineage: Bacteria; Bacillati; Bacillota; Bacilli; Caryophanales; Bacillaceae
Description: bacterial SSU rRNA
Rfam family: Bacterial small subunit ribosomal RNA
Source: RNAcentral
AGAGCUUGCUCUUAUGAAGUUAGCGGCGGACGGGUGAGUAACACGUGGGUAACCUGCCCAUAAGACUGGGAUAACUCCGGGAAACCGGGGCUAAUACCGGAUAACAUUUUGAACCGCAUGGUUCAAAAUUAAAAGGCGGCUUCGGCUGUCACUUAUGGAUGGACCCGCGUCGCAUUAGCUAGUUGGUGAGGUAACGGCUCACCAAGGCAACGAUGCGUAGCCGACCUGAGAGGGUGAUCGGCCACACUGGGACUGAGACACGGCCCAGACUCCUACGGGAGGCAGCAGUAGGGAAUCUUCCGCAAUGGACGAAAGUCUGACGGAGCAACGCCGCGUGAGUGAUGAAGGCUUUCGGGUCGUAAAACUCUGUUGUUAGGGAAGAACAAGUGCUAGUUGAAUAAGCUGGCACCUUGACGGUACCUAACCAGAAAGCCACGGCUAACUACGUGCCAGCAGCCGCGGUAAUACGUAGGUGGCAAGCGUUAUCCGGAAUUAUUGGGCGUAAAGCGCGCGCAGGUGGUUUCUUAAGUCUGAUGUGAAAGCCCACGGCUCAACCGUGGAGGGUCAUUGGAAACUGGGAGACUUGAGUGCAGAAGAGGAAAGUGGAAUUCCAUGUGUAGCGGUGAAAUGCGUAGAGAUAUGGAGGAACACCAGUGGCGAAGGCGACUCUCUGGUCUGUAACUGACACUGAGGCGCGAAAGCGUGGGGAGCAAACAGGAUUAGAUACCCCUGGUAGUCCACGCCGUAAACGAUGAGUGCUAAGUGUUAGGGGGUUUCCGCCCCUUAGAAUGCUGCAGUUAACGCAUUAAGCACUCCGCCUUAGGGGAGUACGGCCGCAAGGCUGAAACUCAAAGGAAUUGACGGGGGCCCGCACAAGCGGUCUGGAGCAUGUGGUUUAAUUCGAAGCAACGCGAAGAACCUUACCAGGUCUUGACAUCCUCUGACAACCCUAGAGAUAGGGCUUCUCCUUCGGGAGCAGAGUGACAGGUGGGUGCAUGGUUGUCGUCAGCUCGUGUCGUUGGAGAUGUUGGGUUAAGUCCCGCAACGAGCGCAACCCUUGAUCUUAGUUGCCAUCAUUAAGUUGGGCACUCUAAGGUGACUGCCGGUGACAAACCGGAGGAAGGUGGGGAUGACGUCAAAUCAUCAUGCCCCUUAUGACCUGGGCUACACACGUGCUACAAUGGACGGUACAAAGAGCUGCAAGACCGCGAGGUGGAGCUAAUCUCAUAAAACCGUUCUCAGUUCGGAUUGUAGGCUGCAACUCGCCUACAUGAAGCUGGAAUCGCUAGUAAUCGCGGAUCAGCAUGCCGCGGUGAAUACGUUCCCGGGCCUUGUACACACCGCCCGUCACACCACGAGAGUUUGUAACACCC